AUGGCGCCGCCGUCGUCCUUGCUGCGCGACCUGCUCAGCGUCGAUGGCUUCAAGAAAAACCGCAAGCAGCCGGACAACAACCCCUCGGCCGCGCCGCGGACCACGAGCAUGCCCCUCCAGCACCGGCGCCCCACCAAGCCCGCGCGGUCCCAGUCCGACGUCCAGCAGGCCCGCGGCCGCCUCAACCUCGACGCCAACGGCGACGGCGCCGGCGAGGAGCAGACCCCGCGACGGAAGUCGUCGGCGUCGCUGAGGACCGCGACGAGCUACAAAGUCAAGGACGGCGGCAGCGGCCCCGGCGCGAUACCGGCCCUCGACGAGUCCGCCCUCAGCGCGCUCAUCUCCCUGGCCGCGGGCACGGUGAAGCAGUUCGCCAAGGACGAGGCCUUCCGCGCGUUUCUGCGGAGCGGCUGCACGUCGUGCGUCGGCGAGUCCGACCACCGCGCCGUGCUGGACCUCCGCGUGACCGUGCAGACCGUGGAGAGGGCCGCCGCGGUGGGGGAGGCCCUGCUCGACCCGCGCGAGCUGAAGCGCGCCUCCCUCAGGCUGCACUCCCUGGCGUCCCUCGACGCGGACGAGGCGCUCUCGGUGACCGCGUCGGGGGUGCCCCACGAGCGCCUCGCCGCGUGCGCGCACCUCUACAUGUGCGUCGUCUCCAAGCUGCAGAAGAAGGACCACUCCUCCGCCGUGCACGCCCUGGAGGCCUUCUGCCUGGCGCCGCGCGAGGCACGGACGGUCCUCCUCCCCGCGCUGUGGGACAGGCUCUUCCGCCCGGGCCUCUCGCACCUCAAGGCAUGGCGCGACCGGGAGUCUGCGGCGGCGAGAUCGAAGCCGGACGCGAGGGUGAAGGACGUCGUGGAGAAGCUCUUCGUCGAAGCGCUGGACGAGGGCACGCGCGCGCUCGCGUGCUACUACAGGGACUGGCUGCUGGGGCGCACCGAGGCGAUGGCGCUCCCGUCCGUUCCCGCGCCUCCGAGCACGGCUCCUCCCGCCACCGCGCCGAGCACUGCCCCUGCCAGCGCGACGAGGUUCUCGACGUCGACGACGUACGACAUCGGCUCGGACGUCGCGUACAGCUCCGGCACCCCGAGUCCUGCCAUGUUUGUGAUCGAGGAGACGCCGCGGCAACCUGAGCGGGUGGUGCAGGAGGAAGGCAAGGCCGCGGACGCCGACAGCUCAGGGAGCGUGUUCCACGAGUGUGACGACGGCGAGGUAAGGAGCUGCAGUCCGACGCCACGGGGAGAAUCAAGCGAGCCCGUGCCUCCUAAUAUGCUCGCCAACGAGGCAUUUGAACCACGGAUCGAAGAUGAACGGGGCAAAGGAGCAGAGGAGUCGACGAGCUACCUGCCGGCUCGCGACAUGUCAGCCAUUGACCUCCUCACACUCGAGUUCUGCGAAGGGCCGCUCGAGAUCAGUGGCGCGGACGGCGGCCAAGUCCAGGCCUCCAUUUUCUCCACCGCCCCGAGCGACUUCCUCUGCCCACUGACGCGGCAGAUCUUCAACCGGCCCGUAACAAUCGAGACGGGCCAGACGUUCGAGCGGCACGCCAUAGUGCACUGGUUCGACCGAGGCCUGCGGACGUGCCCCGUCACGGGGCAGGAGCUGGAGGCCCUGUCGGUCCCGGACACGAACCGCGUGCUCACGCGCCUGAUCGACGCCUGGAAGGCGGAGCACUGCCGGAGCCUGCGGGUCGCCGACGGCGGGGCGCCGGAGGAGAAGCUGAACGUGGCCGUCGUCGACCGGGUGCUCGACGCGGGGCUCAGCGUGUCGGAGCAGACGGAGAGGGCCAGGCACCUCAUGGCGAUCGGCGGCGUCGACUUCCACCUCCACAGGCUUCGCGACGGGAAGGAGGAGGAGCAGAGGGCGCGCGCCGCCGAGCACCUGCUGCUGUGCGUCCGGGCGGAGGGCAGCGUCAGGAGCUACGUGGCUGUGCGGGUUCAUGGGGAGAGCGUUGUUCGGCUUCUGCGGAGCGAGGUGGUCUCUGCCAGGAGCGCUGCCGUGCGGCUGAUGGUUGAGCUGCUCCGGCUGAGAAGUAAUUGUUGCACAAGGGAAAUGGUGGAAUUGUUCAUACGCGGAUUGUGCACGGGGUCGGUCACCGAGACGAUGGACGUGCUACUCCAGCAUCUUCGAAGCUCGCCGGUCGAAGAGCGAGCUCUCGUUGCUGUUCUGCUGCUAUACUUCGAUCGCACACUGUCAGUGGACGAGCCCGACAGAAGAAACAGCAGCGUAUACAGAGAAGAGGCUGCCCGGAUCCUCACGGAGUCUCUGAGACGCUGCCUGAUCGACGAAAACGUGGUGCCCAACACCCGUAAAGCUCUGCUGAUGCUGGGAGGGAAUUUCUCCUUCUCAGGCGACCUCCUCGCCGAGGACCGGAUGCUGGAGCAGGCCGGCUUCGCCGACGACACGCCUGCCGCCACAGCCGUCACUUCCGAUGCCACAGUGCAGGAGACGGAAGCGGCAGAAAAUGAGGCGUGGCUGGAGCACGUGACGACGGCGCUCCUCGGCAGCGGGAGGCGGCCGUUCCUGGCGGCGCUCUCCGGGUGCAUGAGCUCUCCCGACGCCGGCCUGGUGGCCGCGUGCCUGACCACGGCGGGGUGGCUGAGCCGCUCCCUGGCGUCCACGCCGCUCCGGGACACGCACACGGACAUGCAGCUCGCCGCGUUCUCGGCUCUGGUCCCACGGCUGAAGCGGUGCCUGGCCGGCGGCGCCACCCACCUGCAACCCCGGCACAGGGUCCUCGCCGCCGUCACGCUGCACAACUUCAGCAAAAUCCCAGACUGCAGGGUGCUGCUGAUGCUGCUGGCGGACGGGCUGCGCGGUCACCUGGCCGACCUCGCGGAGCUGACCCGGACGGCCGGUCAGCUGUACGCCGAGCUCCACGAGUGA
RNAcentral lists this ribosomal RNA (2886 nucleotides) under Triticum aestivum (bread wheat). Its description in RNAcentral is "partial small subunit ribosomal RNA". Lineage: Eukaryota; Viridiplantae; Streptophyta; Magnoliopsida; Poales; Poaceae. The record is from RNAcentral.